RNAcentral lists this ribosomal RNA (432 nucleotides) under uncultured bacterium. Its description in RNAcentral is "partial 16S ribosomal RNA". It matches the Rfam family "Bacterial small subunit ribosomal RNA", at positions 29 to 506 of the family's 1533-position model. The record is from RNAcentral.
AACGAACGCUGGCGGCAUGCCUAACACAUGCAAGUCGAACGAGACCUUCGGGUCUAGUGGCGCACGGGUGCGUAACGCGUGGGAACCUGCCCUUAGGUUCGGGAUAACUCCCCGAAAGGGGUGCUAAUACCGGAUAAUGUCUUCGGACCAAAGAUUUAUCGCCUUUGGAUGGGCCCGCGUUGGAUUAGCUAGUUGGUAGGGUAAAAGCCUACCAAGGCGACGAUCCAUAGCUGGUCUGAGAGGAUGAUCAGCCACACUGGGACUGAGACACGGCCUAGACUCCUACGGGAGGCAGCAGUGGGGAAUAUUGGACAAUGGGCGAAAGCCUGAUCCAGCAAGGCCGCGUGAGUGAUGAAGGCCUUAGGGUUGUAAAGCUCUUUUACCCGGGAUGAUAAUGACAGUACCGGGAGAAUAAGCUCCGGCUAACUCCGU